Molecule: ribosomal RNA, 253 nt
Filed under: uncultured bacterium
Lineage: Bacteria
Description: partial 16S ribosomal RNA
Rfam family: Bacterial small subunit ribosomal RNA
Source: RNAcentral
UACGGGGGGGGCAAGCGUUGUUCGGAAUUACUGGGCGUAAAGGGCUCGUAGGCGGCCGACUAAGUCGGAUGUGAAAUCCCCAGGCUCAACUUGGGAACUGCAUCCGAUACUGGAUGGCUUGAAUUCGGGAGAGGGAUGCAGAAUUCCAGGUGUAGCGGUGAAAUGCGUAGAUAUCUGGAGGAAUACCGGUGGCGAAGGCGGCAUCCUGGACCGACAUUGACGCUGAUGAGCGAAAGCUAGGGGAGCAAACGGG